RNAcentral lists this ribosomal RNA (253 nucleotides) under uncultured bacterium. Its description in RNAcentral is "partial 16S ribosomal RNA". It matches the Rfam family "Bacterial small subunit ribosomal RNA", at positions 524 to 776 of the family's 1533-position model. The record is from RNAcentral.
UACGUAGGUGGCAAGCGUUAUCCGGAUUUACUGGGUGUAAAGGGGGCGCAGACGGCGCGGCAAGUCCGGAGUGAAAUCCCAGGGCCCAACCCUGGGGCUGCUCUGGAAACUGCCGGGCUGGAGUGCUGGAGGGCCAGGCGGAAUUCCUAGUGUAGCGGUGAAAUGCGUAGAUAUUAGGAGGAACACCGGUGGCGAAGGCGGCCUGCUGGACAGCGACUGACGUUGAGGCCCGAAAGCGUGGGGAGCAAACAGG